GAUCAUGGCUCAGGAUGAACGCUAGCUACAGGCUUAACACAUGCAAGUCGAGGGGCAGCAUGGACCCAGCUUUGCUGGGUUUGAUGGCGACCGGCGCACGGGUGAGUAACGCGUAUCCAACCUGCCCUUUACUCCGGGAUAGUCUCCUGAAAGGGAGUUUAAUACCGGAUGUGUUUGUCUUUCCGCAUGGGAGUGACAAAUAAAGAUUGAUUGGUUAAAGGGAAUGGGGAGUGCGUCCCAUUAG
This 244-nucleotide ribosomal RNA is filed under the name uncultured bacterium. RNAcentral's name for it is "partial 16S ribosomal RNA". It matches the Rfam family "Bacterial small subunit ribosomal RNA", at positions 15 to 244 of the family's 1533-position model. The record is from RNAcentral.